RNAcentral lists this non-coding RNA (728 nucleotides) under Ixodes scapularis (black-legged tick). RNAcentral's name for it is "Eukaryotic large subunit ribosomal RNA". It matches the Rfam family "Eukaryotic large subunit ribosomal RNA", at positions 1713 to 2275 of the family's 3401-position model. The record is from Rfam by way of RNAcentral. Lineage: Eukaryota; Metazoa; Arthropoda; Arachnida; Ixodida; Ixodidae.
CGAGUCCCUGGAAUGGGUUCGCCCCGAGAUAGGGAUGGUGGCUCCGUAGAGCAGUGCGGUUCUUGCGCUGUCCGGUGCGCUCGCGUCGGCCCUUGAAAAUCCGAGUGAGGGAGUGUGAUUUUCGUGCCGGACCGUACCCACAUCCGCAGCAGGUCUCCAAGGUGAACAGCCUCUAGUCGAUGGACCAAUGUAGGUAAGGGAAGUCGGCAAAACGGAUCCGUAACCUUGGGAUAAGGAUUGGCUCUGAGGACUGAGCCGGUCGGGCUGGGGACCUGAAGCAGGAACGGCACUGCACCGGGACUGGGCGGGGCUCGCCGUUCACGCGGCGCGGCCAAGCCCGGACCAGCGUCGGGACCUUCCUGUGGAAAGCCUCAGCUGCGCGGCGUCUGAGGGCUUCGUGCCCAAAGUGCUAUGCUUCGGCCGGCAAAAAACAGUCAACUCAGAACUGGCACGGACCGGGGGAAUCCGACUGUCUAAUUAAAACAAAGCAUUGCGAUGGCCGCUGGUCGGUGUUGACGCAAUGUGAUUUCUGCCCAGUGCUCUGAAUGUCAACGUGAAGAGAUUCAUCAAAGCGCGGGUAAACGGCGGGAGUAACUAUGACUGAUUGAUGCCACAGUGAUCACCUGUGGGUAUCCGCUCCUCAAGGCCCACGAGAGUAAAGUGCGAAAGUACGACGUCCCCCAGGUCACCUCGAUCUGUAAGGGAAAGAAUACCGAGCACCCUCUCGU